Molecule: ribosomal RNA, 2905 nt
Filed under: Salmonella enterica
Lineage: Bacteria; Pseudomonadati; Pseudomonadota; Gammaproteobacteria; Enterobacterales; Enterobacteriaceae
Description: 23S ribosomal RNA
Rfam family: Bacterial large subunit ribosomal RNA
Source: RNAcentral
GGUUAAGCGACUAAGCGUACACGGUGGAUGCCCUGGCAGUCAGAGGCGAUGAAGGGCGUGCUAAUCUGCGAUAAGCGCCGGUAAGGUGAUAUGAACCGUUAUAACCGGCGAUACCCGAAUGGGGAAACCCAGUGUGACUCGUCACACUAUCAUUAACUGAAUCCAUAGGUUAAUGAGGCGAACCGGGGGAACUGAAACAUCUAAGUACCCCGAGGAAAAGAAAUCAACCGAGAUUCCCCCAGUAGCGGCGAGCGAACGGGGAGGAGCCCAGAGCCUGAAUCAGCAUGUGUGUUAGUGGAAGCGUCUGGAAAGGCGCGCGAUACAGGGUGACAGCCCCGUACACAAAAGCGCAUGUGCUGUGAGCUCGAUGAGUAGGGCGGGACACGUGGUAUCCUGUCUGAAUAUGGGGGGACCAUCCUCCAAGGCUAAAUACUCCUGACUGACCGAUAGUGAACCAGUACCGUGAGGGAAAGGCGAAAAGAACCCCGGCGAGGGGAGUGAAAAAGAACCUGAAACCGUGUACGUACAAGCAGUGGGAGCACCCUUCGGGGUGUGACUGCGUACCUUUUGUAUAAUGGGUCAGCGACUUAUAUUCUGUAGCAAGGUUAACCGUAUAGGGGAGCCGGAGGGAAACCGAGUCUUAACCGGGCGUUAAGUUGCAGGGUAUAGACCCGAAACCCGGUGAUCUAGCCAUGGGCAGGUUGAAGGUUGGGUAACACUAACUGGAGGACCGAACCGACUAAUGUUGAAAAAUUAGCGGAUGACCUGUGGCUGGGGGUGAAAGGCCAAUCAAACCGGGAGAUAGCUGGUUCUCCCCGAAAGCUAUUUAGGUAGCGCCUCGUGAAUUCAUCUCCGGGGGUAGAGCACUGUUUCGGCUAGGGGGCCAUCCCGGCUUACCAACCCGAUGCAAACUGCGAAUACCGGAGAAUGUUAUCACGGGAGACACACGGCGGGUGCUAACGUCCGUCGUGAAGAGGGAAACAACCCAGACCGCCAGCUAAGGUCCCAAAGUCAUGGUUAAGUGGGAAACGAUGUGGGAAGGCCCAGACAGCCAGGAUGUUGGCUUAGAAGCAGCCAUCAUUUAAAGAAAGCGUAAUAGCUCACUGGUCGAGUCGGCCUGCGCGGAAGAUGUAACGGGGCUAAACCAUGCACCGAAGCUGCGGCAGCGACACUGUGUGUUGUUGGGUAGGGGAGCGUUCUGUAAGCCUGUGAAGGUGGCCUGUGAGGGUUGCUGGAGGUAUCAGAAGUGCGAAUGCUGACAUAAGUAACGAUAAAGCGGGUGAAAAGCCCGCUCGCCGGAAGACCAAGGGUUCCUGUCCAACGUUAAUCGGGGCAGGGUGAGUCGACCCCUAAGGCGAGGCCGAAAGGCGUAGUCGAUGGGAAACGGGUUAAUAUUCCCGUACUUGGUGUUACUGCGAAGGGGGGACGGAGAAGGCUAUGUUGGCCGGGCGACGGUUGUCCCGGUUUAAGCGUGUAGGUGUGUGUUCCAGGUAAAUCCGGUUCACUUUAACACUGAGGCGUGAUGACGAGGCACUACGGUGCUGAAGCAACAAAUGCCCUGCUUCCAGGAAAAGCCUCUAAGCAUCAGGUAACAUCAAAUCGUACCCCAAACCGACACAGGUGGUCAGGUAGAGAAUACCAAGGCGCUUGAGAGAACUCGGGUGAAGGAACUAGGCAAAAUGGUGCCGUAACUUCGGGAGAAGGCACGCUGACACGUAGGUGAAGUGAUUUACUCAUGGAGCUGAAGUCAGUCGAAGAUACCAGCUGGCUGCAACUGUUUAUUAAAAACACAGCACUGUGCAAACACGAAAGUGGACGUAUACGGUGUGACGCCUGCCCGGUGCCGGAAGGUUAAUUGAUGGGGUCAGCGCAAGCGAAGCUCCUGAUCGAAGCCCCGGUAAACGGCGGCCGUAACUAUAACGGUCCUAAGGUAGCGAAAUUCCUUGUCGGGUAAGUUCCGACCUGCACGAAUGGCGUAAUGAUGGCCAGGCUGUCUCCACCCGAGACUCAGUGAAAUUGAACUCGCUGUGAAGAUGCAGUGUACCCGCGGCAAGACGGAAAGACCCCGUGAACCUUUACUAUAGCUUGACACUGAACAUUGAGCCUUGAUGUGUAGGAUAGGUGGGAGGCUUUGAAGUGUGGACGCCAGUCUGCAUGGAGCCGACCUUGAAAUACCACCCUUUAAUGUUUGAUGUUCUAACGUGGACCCGUAAUCCGGGUUGCGGACAGUGUCUGGUGGGUAGUUUGACUGGGGCGGUCUCCUCCUAAAGAGUAACGGAGGAGCACGAAGGUUGGCUAAUCCUGGUCGGACAUCAGGAGGUUAGUGCAAUGGCAUAAGCCAGCUUGACUGCGAGCGUGACGGCGCGAGCAGGUGCGAAAGCAGGUCAUAGUGAUCCGGUGGUUCUGAAUGGAAGGGCCAUCGCUCAACGGAUAAAAGGUACUCCGGGGAUAACAGGCUGAUACCGCCCAAGAGUUCAUAUCGACGGCGGUGUUUGGCACCUCGAUGUCGGCUCAUCACAUCCUGGGGCUGAAGUAGGUCCCAAGGGUAUGGCUGUUCGCCAUUUAAAGUGGUACGCGAGCUGGGUUUAGAACGUCGUGAGACAGUUCGGUCCCUAUCUGCCGUGGGCGCUGGAGAACUGAGGGGGGCUGCUCCUAGUACGAGAGGACCGGAGUGGACGCAUCACUGGUGUUCGGGUUGUCAUGCCAAUGGCACUGCCCGGUAGCUAAAUGCGGAAGAGAUAAGUGCUGAAAGCAUCUAAGCACGAAACUUGCCCCGAGAUGAGUUCUCCCUGAGACUUAGAGUCUCCUGAAGGAACGUUGAAGACGACGACGUUGAUAGGCCGGGUGUGUAAGCGCAGCGAUGCGUUGAGCUAACCGGUACUAAUGAACCGUGAGGCUUAACCUU